This is a small nucleolar RNA of Bison bison bison, 134 nucleotides long. The record is from Ensembl. Lineage: Eukaryota; Metazoa; Chordata; Mammalia; Artiodactyla; Bovidae.
GAUGCCGGAUUUGCCGGCACCACGGGUGCGGCCGCCCUGCUGCGCCCGUGCCGUUGGGGCAGAGAGGAAGCGGCUAUUUCUACGCUCAGUGCUCAGAACCGUGGGCACUAAGAAUGGUUUGUAGCCGAACAUCA